This 497-nucleotide ribosomal RNA is filed under the name uncultured bacterium. RNAcentral describes it as "partial 16S ribosomal RNA". It matches the Rfam family "Bacterial small subunit ribosomal RNA", at positions 28 to 507 of the family's 1533-position model. The record is from RNAcentral.
GAUGAACGCUGGCGGCGUGCCUAAUACAUGCAAGUCGAGCGAACGGACGAGAAGCUUGCUUCUCUGAUGUUAGCGGCGGACGGGUGAGUAACACGUGGAUAACCUACCUAUAAGACUGGGAUAACUUCGGGAAACCGGAGCUAAUACCGGAUGAUAUUUUGAACCGCAUGGUUCAAAAGUGAAAGACGGUCUUGCUGUCACUUAUAGAUGGAUCCGCGCUGCAUUUGCUAGUUGGUAAGGUAACGGCUUACCAAGGCAACGAUGCAUAGCCGACCUGAGAGGGUGAUCGGCCACACUGGAACUGAGACACGGUCCAGACUCCUACGGGAGGCAGCAGUAGGGAAUCUUCCGCAAUGGGCGAAAGCCUGACGGAGCAACGCCGCGUGAGUGAUGAAGGUCUUCGGAUCGUAAAACUCCGUUAUUAGGGAAGAACAUAUGUGUAAGUAACUGUGCACAUCUUGACGGUACCUAAUCAGAAAGCCACGGCUAACUACGUG